RNAcentral lists this ribosomal RNA (468 nucleotides) under uncultured bacterium. RNAcentral's name for it is "partial 16S ribosomal RNA". It matches the Rfam family "Bacterial small subunit ribosomal RNA", at positions 28 to 507 of the family's 1533-position model. The record is from RNAcentral.
GACGAACGCUGGCGGCGUGCUUAACACAUGCAAGUCGAACGGUGAUGCUCCAGCUUGCUGGAGUGGAUCAGUGGCGAACGGGUGAGUAACACGUGAGCAACCUGCCCCAGACUCUGGAAUAAGCGCUGGAAACGGCGUCUAAUACUGGAUACGAAACUGGCCCGCAUGGGCAUGGUUUGGAAAGUUUUUCGGUUUGGGAUGGGCUCGCGGCCUAUCAGCUUGUUGGUGAGGUAAUGGCUCACCAAGGCGACGACGGGUAGCCGGCCUGAGAGGGCGACCGGCCACACUGGGACUGAGACACGGCCCAGACUCCUACGGGAGGCAGCAGUGGGGAAUAUUGCACAAUGGACGAAAGCCUGAUGCAGCGACGCCGCGUGAGGGAUGACGGCCUUCGGGUUGUAAACCUCUUUCAGCAGGGAAGAAGCGAAAGUGACGGUACCUGCAGAAGAAGCACCGGCUAACUACGUG